This 292-nucleotide ribosomal RNA is filed under the name uncultured Bacteroidota bacterium. RNAcentral describes it as "uncultured Bacteroidetes bacterium partial 16S ribosomal RNA". The record is from RNAcentral. Lineage: Bacteria; Pseudomonadati; Bacteroidota.
GGACUACUGGGGUAUCUAAUCCUGUUUGAUCCCCACGCUUUCGUGCCUCAGUGUCAAUCAGACCAUAGUAAGCUGCCUUCGCAAUCGGUGUUCUGUGACAUAUCUAUGCAUUUCACCGCUACUUGUCACAUUCCGCCUACCUCUAGUCCAUUCAAGCCCGACAGUAUCAAGGGCACUGCGACAGUUAAGCUGCCGUCUUUCACCCCUGACUUAUCAGGCCACCUACGCACCCUUUAAACCCAAUAAAUCCGGAUAACGCUUGGAUCCUCCGUAUUACCGCGGCUGCUGGCAC